GAAAGCUGAAAAUUUAAACUGUCGACGCCAUACGGCCGUGUGUUGGACUGUGUGUCUCACACAGUCUGAGCCAAUUGGGCCGUGUGGGCCACACGGGCAUGUGAACCCAAAAUCUGAAAGAUUUUCCUAAGGUCAUAAACGUCAUUCGGAUUGAAUGUAGGUCUUCUGUAGGGUCUGUAUGUUAUAAAUUAGACUAUAAAACAUGA
This 206-nucleotide long non-coding RNA is filed under the name Gossypium raimondii (Peruvian cotton). RNAcentral describes it as "long non-coding RNA (GRAI_LNC007283)". The record is from RNAcentral. Lineage: Eukaryota; Viridiplantae; Streptophyta; Magnoliopsida; Malvales; Malvaceae.